Molecule: non-coding RNA, 314 nt
Organism: Taeniopygia guttata (zebra finch)
Lineage: Eukaryota; Metazoa; Chordata; Aves; Passeriformes; Estrildidae
Source: RefSeq, a predicted model, not a curated record
GGACGUCCCUUAGAAGCAGAAAUCUAAGGAUUCUUGUAGCCAGAAUGAAACUAAACACUCCCAGAAUGUUACUUUCUGCCUUGGCUCCCGCAUACCGGUGCUGCUUUUAGUAGCUUGGCAAAAAUCCCGCUGGGAUCAGCUGGACAAGAUGUCAUGGAUGCAAGAGCAGAGGAGUAUACCCAGUUGUAGCACUCAACUGUAAAAAAAAGUUUUAACUCAUACAUGACUUUGGUGGAAUCCAUGAAGUGGAAGCUGCAAGACACCUCAGAAACAACUGAAGCUUGGAAGUGAGUCAAUUAAUAAAAAUAACAUUU